UGUGGUUGUUCUUUGUAUUAGGCAACUACAUUGAUCUCUUGUUAUUCUUGAGCUUUCUUUAACUAUACCUUCAUUGUUGCAUAUAGCUCUGACAAAUGAUUUGUUAAAUCUUCUAAUACAAGAUUAUUAACUUUUGAAAAGUUAAAAGUAUCAAGUCAUGAAUGAUAACCAUAAUUACCAAAGAAAGGUCUUCGUGAACUAAAAUAAACCUUUACUAUUCAAAAAAAUUAUUCUAGUUUAUAAUAAGUGAAUUAACUAUUUAAUUUCUUAGAAUUUUAUCUAUUUUUUAAAUCCUACUCAAAUCACUCUUAUCUUCUUUAAAAUAACCUCUACUCAUUGGAGUCAUUCCUAAUUCAUGACAAUAGAAUUAACUAUGUGAUUAUUGCAAAUUAUAGCUCUUAUUUAAUCCAAUUUAAGUCACCCAAAAAACUUCUUAAUUCAUCCAAGUUAUUAAGCAAUUCCUACUACCAACUCACACAUAUCAAAAUAAGUCAAUCCAAAAUAUUAUACAAAUCUAAAAAUCAUCAUUACUACUAUUUCAAUCUAUUUAUUUAUUUUAUUUAAUUAAUUAAUUAUUUAUUUCUUUUUAUUACUAUUAUUAAUUUUUAUAGUUUUAAUUUUAAAUUAAUAUUCAUCCAUCAAUAAAAAUUCAUUCUUAAAUGACUAUUCAUCCAUAGUAAAUAACUCAUUUGUGAUCAAAUAUUCAUUCAAAACUUUAUUUUACUUAUUUAUUAUUAUUAUUAAAUAAAAAAUUUAAAAAUAAAAUAUAAAAUAAAAUAAAAACCUAAAUUCUUCUUUCUGAGCCUAAUUUCCUAUGUCUAACCUUCAUUACCUCGCAAGUAUGAUGACUUUGAGGGGGUAUAACAACCGAUUCAAUUCUGCAUAGAAGUUA
RNAcentral lists this long non-coding RNA (892 nucleotides) under Physcomitrium patens. RNAcentral describes it as "long non-coding RNA (PPAT_LNC004609)". Lineage: Eukaryota; Viridiplantae; Streptophyta; Bryopsida; Funariales; Funariaceae. The record is from RNAcentral.